UGGGGAAUUUUGGACAAUGGGCGAAAGCCUGAUCCAGCAAUGCCGCGUGUGUGAAGAAGGCCUUCGGGUUGUAAAGCACUUUUGUCCGGAAAGAAAUCCUUGGCUCUAAUACAGUCGGGGGAUGACGGUACCGGAAGAAUAAGCACCGGCUAACUACGUGCCAGCAGCCGCGGUAAUACGUAGGGUGCAAGCGUUAAUCGGAAUUACUGGGCGUAAAGCGUGCGCAGGCGGUUUGCUAAGACCGAUGUGAAAUCCCCGGGCUCAACCUGGGAACUGCAUUGGUGACUGGCAGGCUAGAGUAUGGCAGAGGGGGGUAGAAUUCCACGUGUAGCAGUGAAAUGCGUAGAGAUGUGGAGGAAUACCGAUGGCGAAGGCAGCCCCCUGGGCCAAUACUGACGCUCAUGCACGAAAGCGUGGGGAGCAAACAGGAUUAGAUACCCUGGUGUGUCCACGCCCUAAACGAUGUCAACAGUUGUUGGGGAUUCAUUUCCUUAGUAACGUAGCUAACGCGUGAAGUUGACCGCCUGGGGAGUACGGUCGCAAGAUUAAAA
RNAcentral lists this ribosomal RNA (551 nucleotides) under uncultured bacterium. RNAcentral's name for it is "partial 16S ribosomal RNA". It matches the Rfam family "Bacterial small subunit ribosomal RNA", at positions 355 to 899 of the family's 1533-position model. The record is from RNAcentral.